GCCUUCUUAGUUCAGUGGUAGAGCGUUGGUCUCGUAUGAUAAUUGUAGUGAAACAAAGGCCGAGAGCUCAAUCCUCUCAGGAGGCA
RNAcentral lists this transfer RNA (86 nucleotides) under Daphnia pulex (common water flea). It matches the Rfam family "tRNA". Rfam says of the family: Transfer RNA (tRNA) molecules are approximately 80 nucleotides in length. Their secondary structure includes four short double-helical elements and three loops (D, anti-codon, and T loops). Lineage: Eukaryota; Metazoa; Arthropoda; Branchiopoda; Diplostraca; Daphniidae. The record is from Rfam by way of RNAcentral.